AAAAGCUUUCUUUAAUUGAAUAAUUGAAUUUAAUUUUUUAGUGCAAAAGCAAAAAUAAAAAUUAGGGACAAGAAGACCCUAUGAAUUUUUUAUUAAAUUUUAUAAAACUUUAUAUAAAAUUUAAUUUAAUUGGGGUGAUGGAAAAAGAAUAAAUAUCUUUUUUUAAAAGAAAAUUGGUUCCGUUCUUAGCGAUUAAAUGAAAAAAAUACUCUAGGUAUAACAGCGUAAUAAUUUUGGAUAGUUCAUAUAGAUAAAAUAGUUUGCGACCUCGAUGUUGGAUUAGGAUUCUUUUUUGGUGAAGAAGUUAAAAAAAGAAGUUUGUUCAACUUAUAAUUUCCUACUUGAUCUGAGUUCAGACCGG
Molecule: ribosomal RNA, 361 nt
Filed under: Ixodes ricinus (castor bean tick)
Lineage: Eukaryota; Metazoa; Arthropoda; Arachnida; Ixodida; Ixodidae
Description: partial 16S ribosomal RNA
Rfam family: Bacterial large subunit ribosomal RNA (bases 66-361)
Source: RNAcentral